GCACAAGCGGUGGAGCAUGUGGUUCAAUUCGACGCAACGCGAAGAACCUUACCUGGGCUCGAAAUGUAGUGGACCGGGGUGGAAACAUCCCUUUUCGCAAGAACUGCUAUAUAGGUGCUGCAUGGCUGUCGUCAGCUCGUGUCGUGAGAUGUUGGGUUAAGUCCCGCAACGAGCGCAACCCUUGUCUGCUGUUGCCAUCACGUUAUGGUGGGCACUCUGCAGAGACUGCCGGUGAUAAACCGGAGGAAGGUGGGGAUGACGUCAAGUCAGCAUGGCCUUUAUGUCUGGGGCUACACACGUGCUACAAUGGCAGAUACAAACCGUCGCGAGACCGCAAGGUGGAGCUAAUCGGAUAAAGUCUGUCUCAGUUCGGAUUGUCGGCUGCAACUCGCCGGCAUGAAGUUGGAAUCGCUAGUAAUCGCGGAUCAGCACGCCGCGGUGAAUACGUUCCCGGGC
RNAcentral lists this ribosomal RNA (456 nucleotides) under uncultured bacterium. RNAcentral describes it as "bacterial SSU rRNA". It matches the Rfam family "Bacterial small subunit ribosomal RNA", at positions 923 to 1379 of the family's 1533-position model. The record is from RNAcentral.